This 480-nucleotide ribosomal RNA is filed under the name uncultured Caulobacter sp. RNAcentral's name for it is "bacterial SSU rRNA". It matches the Rfam family "Bacterial small subunit ribosomal RNA", at positions 1 to 524 of the family's 1533-position model. The record is from RNAcentral. Lineage: Bacteria; Pseudomonadati; Pseudomonadota; Alphaproteobacteria; Caulobacterales; Caulobacteraceae.
UACGCUGUCUAGAGUUUGAUCAUGGCUCAGAGCGAACGCUGGCGGCGGGCCUAACACAUGCAAGUCGAACGGAUCCUUCGGGAUUAGUGGCGGACGGGUGAGUAACACGUGGGAACGUGCCUUUUGGUUCGGAACAACUCAGGGAAACUUGAGCUAAUACCGGAUAAGCCUUUCGAGGGAAAGGUUUAUCGCCAUUAGAGCGGCCCGCGUCUGAUUAGCUAGUUGGUGGGGUAAAGGCCCACCAAGGCGACGAUCAGUAGCUGGUCUGAGAGGAUGAUCAGCCACAUUGGGACUGAGACACGGCCCAAACUCCUACGGGAGGCAGCAGUGGGGAAUCUUGCGCAAUGGGCGAAAGCCUGACGCAGCCAUGCCGCGUGAAUGAUGAAGGUCUUAGGAUUGUAAAAUUCUUUCACCGGGGACGAUAAUGACGGUACCCGGAGAAGAAGCCCCGGCUAACUUCGUGCCAGCCGCCGCGGUAAU